RNAcentral lists this ribosomal RNA (706 nucleotides) under Bacillus sp. (in: firmicutes). Its description in RNAcentral is "bacterial SSU rRNA". It matches the Rfam family "Bacterial small subunit ribosomal RNA", at positions 65 to 753 of the family's 1533-position model. Lineage: Bacteria; Bacillati; Bacillota; Bacilli; Caryophanales; Bacillaceae. The record is from RNAcentral.
AGCGGACAGAUGGGAGCUUGCUCCCUGAUGUCAGCGGCGGACGGGUGAGUAACACGUGGGUAACCUGCCUGUAAGACUGGGAUAACUCCGGGAAACCGGGGCUAAUACCGGAUGCUUGAUUGAACCGCAUGGUUCAAUUAUAAAAGGUGGCUUUUAGCUACCACUUACAGAUGGACCCGCGGCGCAUUAGCUAGUUGGUGAGGUAACGGCUCACCAAGGCAACGAUGCGUAGCCGACCUGAGAGGGUGAUCGGCCACACUGGGACUGAGACACGGCCCAGACUCCUACGGGAGGCAGCAGUAGGGAAUCUUCCGCAAUGGACGAAAGUCUGACGGAGCAACGCCGCGUGAGUGAUGAAGGUUUUCGGAUCGUAAAACUCUGUUGUUAGGGAAGAACAAGUACCGUUCGAAUAGGGCGGUACCUUGACGGUACCUAACCAGAAAGCCACGGCUAACUACGUGCCAGCAGCCGCGGUAAUACGUAGGUGGCAAGCGUUGUCCGGAAUUAUUGGGCGUAAAGCGCGCGCAGGCGGUUUCUUAAGUCUGAUGUGAAACCCCCCGGCUCAACCGGGGAGGGUCAUUGGAAACUGGGGAACUUGAGUGCAGAAGAGGAGAGUGGAAUUCCACUUGUAGCGGUGAAAUGCGUAAAGAUGUGGAGGAACACCAUGGCGAAGGCGACUCUCUGGUCUGUAACUGACGCUGAGGCG